RNAcentral lists this ribosomal RNA (301 nucleotides) under uncultured bacterium. RNAcentral describes it as "partial 16S ribosomal RNA". It matches the Rfam family "Bacterial small subunit ribosomal RNA", at positions 509 to 807 of the family's 1533-position model. The record is from RNAcentral.
CAGUAGCCGCGGGAAUACGAGGGGGGCAAGCGUUGUUCGGAAUUAUUGGGCAUAAAGGGCGCGUAGGCGGUUUGGCAAGUUUGGUGUGAAAUCUUCGGGCUCAACUCGAAGUCUGCACCGAAAACUGCCGGGCUUGAGUAUGGGAGAGGUGAGUGGAAUUUCCGGUGUAGCGGUGAAAUGCGUAGACAUCGGAAGGAACACCUGUGGCGAAAGCGGCUCACUGGACCAUUACUGACGCUGAGGCGCGAAAGCUAGGGGAGCAAACAGGAUUAGAUACCCCCGUAGUCCCUGUCUCUUAUAC